RNAcentral lists this microRNA (38 nucleotides) under Canis lupus familiaris (dog). RNAcentral's name for it is "miRNA (ENSCAFG00000051490.1)". Lineage: Eukaryota; Metazoa; Chordata; Mammalia; Carnivora; Canidae. The record is from RNAcentral.
UGCACCUCAAGAAACCACUUUCUUUGCUCAUCCCUAAG